GCUGCAGGUCAGCUCACCAUGUGAAAUCCUCUGGCUGCUUCAAGCAUUCUACGUGUCUGCGUGUGCGAGCUCCCGCCCCUUCUCAAACAGCGAUUGCACAAGCUUUGGAGAAACACGGAUUUGAAUAACCUCCACUUGAAUUCUCUUAAAACACUGAAUGUGCUGCGUUGCUGGAAGUGUGUGCUGAAAAGAUCACAAGUGAUAAUUGUGUGAUCACCCCAUGACCACUGAUCUCUAGCAACACCUGGAAGAGCCAGAGAGAUGGAAUUGAGUCUGCCACCAGCAAUAUCUGCAUGUACCUAGAUCCUGGUUGUGUGCUUUCUCUUGUCCUUCGAAGUACAGUAGGCUGUAUCCGCUCCAGAGUUUGUUCAUGCCAACUGGGCACGUUGGCUCUUGAUCGGACUGGCUGUGCUUCACCAGCAGGUAGCCCAUGCUAACACUGCGACCCGGCAUGCCUGGCAGCCCGGGGCUACCGGGGCGGCCUGGCUGACCUUAGGAGAAGGGGGAAAAGAAAUAACACAACUCAGUUUGUGCUCUCACAAAUGCUCUGACGCUGGCUGAUAUUCACAGAAUCAGAGAAGGGCAGGGGUUGGAAGGGACCUCUGGAGAUCAUCUAGUCCAACCCCCCUGCUAGAGCAGGAUCACCCAGAGCAGGUUGCACAGGAUCACGUCCAGGCAGGUUUUGAAUAUCUCCAGAGAAGGAGACUCCACAACCUCUCUGGGCAGCCUGUUCCAGUGCUCUGUCGCCCUCACAGUGAAGAAGUAUUCCAGCUAAGCUGCUGAUGAACAAAGCUUAAUUGCAUAAUGCUUUUUAUGAUAAAUUAUUGUUGAAAGAGAUGUAGUUCUAGGAUUACAGCAGUUGCUUUUGAAGUAGAUUGGUGCCAGAUCAAGCUCCCUGGUUUCUAAAGUGAUGUAUUUCACUAUCAGUGCCCGGGAAAGGCCCGUAUAAAGUUCUGAUAAAUUUGAGCAUACUUCAUACAAUACAGGUGAGCAUAUUUUUCAUUUAAAACAUCUUCUUAGUCCAAGAUUAACCAAUGUUUUUUUAAUUGCUUGCAUUUGCUUCAUACUGCUAAAACUAUGCUCUAAAAAUACCUUUUCUCUGUGUACUCAGCUAAUUAAGAUAGUAAUCGUUCUCUUUGAUUGGAUAAGGACACAGGUAUUUCUUUUACAAAUUCUUUCCCUUAAACACCAUCUAUCCAAACAUCACCUACCCAACCAUUCAUUUCCACGAAUGUAACUGUUAGUAAGACACUAGGCUGAAAUACUUUAAGAGAAAACCAAUAUAAUAACACAGUCAGGUCAAAACAAACUCACUCACGUGAGUGGAUUGACAUCUACCAAAACUUAUUCUGAAAAUACUGCUUUAAGCUAACUCUGUUAAGAGUUAGUUAUGAGGAAGCUGUGAAGACAGACACUUUCUCUCCCCUCCUCCCUAUCCAGUGAUGUAGUAACUACAGAACAAUUUAUGACAGUGAAACGGGAAAGAGGGAAGAAGUGCGUGCAACAUCUCUUACCUUCAAAUCCCACCGGACCCUGAAACCCUGUUGCUCCUUGUUCACCUCUGGAGCCAGGAGGAGCUGGAAUGCCACCCCUGCCCUGGAGUCCUGGCUCUCCAGGUGAGCCUCUGAAACCUUGCACCAACAACGGUUAUAAGUACAGUGACUGCAGAGAUACCAACAUGCUACCUGCUUUGUUAACGUGUGCUCUACUUGCAUAUGUUUGGUCCUAUCUGCUAGGUUUACAAUUUACACUACAGGCAAGAUUCUACAGUUCUUGCUCAGGCAAAGAGCACUGACUUCUUUGGAACAUGCUGCUGGGAUGAAGACUACAUGAGCCCCACAACCUUAAUCUUUCACUCUUGCUACCACCACGCAUCUCUGAUGAGGCUUGUAGCAAGAGGUGCACCGCAUCAGGUCCAUGCAUCACUAACACUACAGUCCCUGGGCUGAAAGCAUGUCCACAAGGAUGUGCACAUUUCCACCAAAAACGUUCAGCCUUGAUUUAAGUGAGAUCCAUAUCUGUGUUGCUUUGGGUGUGUCAGUGUUGUCAGUUUUCUCCUGUUUUGCUUAUGUUCUGAAUCCUAGGAGGAGGAGGAAAGCCAAGCCUGGCUUUGGAAGGCCAAAAUUUAACUCUCCUUUCUGACUUACAGAAUUCAAAGUAGAAGAGAGCCAAAGCAGUGCUCUGGUGGUUUCACUCUGCUAAGGGGAACUGAGCUUUCACUCUGAGUGUGAGAUUCCUACCUGGAUCGCCUGGUGGACCCUGAAGUCCCAUAUCUCCUGGGCUUCCUUGAGGUCCUAUAUUUCCACGAGGACCUGGUGAACCUGGCUCAGCAACCAGCCUUGGAGGAAGAGGGGACAGCCCAGGAGAGCCUGGAGGGCCCUGAAAGCCUGUGAUUGGAAGCAAGAUGAAUCAUGUUCUGGAGGUUUUUCUAUAAAGAACUGAAUACUAGUUCUGUGCCAAAGCUCUCUGGAUAGCUAAUUACAUCUCACAGUAUGGAAUGCUAAUCAUCUUGAGUCUGCCAGCUGUCAUGAAAAAUGAAAACAUUUCCUGAAAACUGCUUUCCUGGUUGAGAGGGAGGUCAUCAGCAGUUAAAGUGAGCUCAGUAGACACCUGUCCUUCAGAAUCCAUAAAUCAGAAAGCGACCACGUUGGUCUUCAUUAAUGCACCUGAACUUUAUGAGGAACGAAUGUUUAUUAGAGGGAACUGCCAGUCUGAACUGAAAAAAGCCCCCUUUAUUCUGCUUCACCCCAAAGGAACAAUAGCAAGCGCUCACAUCGAAAUGAGUGAAUAGACGAAGCUCUAUGAGUACCUGCUUGUCCUGGUAAGCCAGCCCAGCCGCGAGUUCCCUUUUCACCUUGAAAUCCAGGAGUCCCGGGGCUUCCUUGCUGCCCUGGGGGGCCGACCAGUCCCGGCAAACCUAGGUGACAAUGAUGAAUCAUUGCUCACGCGUGUCCUUAAAGCUGAUAUAGCCAAAACCACUGACUUGUGCUACCUUAAUCCGCCAAGGUAGCAAAAUGAAAGCUUCCUCCCAGUAAUGUCAUUGUAUGACGCUGCACUGCUCAUCCAGGUGGAAGAAAAUUAAAGAGAGAAAAGGUAGGAGAGGCAAGGUAUAACAGAACAAUUAAUUACAAACUUCAGGUUUCUGACAACCUCAAAAAUAUAGUGGGCUGCUCCUAUUAAAAUGAUAAUUUUAUUUCUACUGCCAGUUACAAUAAGUAAGUUCAUUUAUGUGCACCUCAGUUUCCCCUUCUGCUGCAUCUGUUUUUUCUUUCCAACUGGAAAGCUGUUCGGACAAGGGUGUUUCCCAGUGAGGUAUCUAUCAAAACUGCUCCAGUCUUGGCUGGAGUUCCUAAGCCCCAUAGUUAUAUGAGAAAUGUGGAGCAACUGUUCCAAAAGAGCAUUUUUGUGAUCCUCCUGCAAUAAGACAUGUUCUUAAGCCCUGAGUUUAUGAUCCAGCCAGAGUAAACCUGACUUUGGUUCCCUGGUACUCUUGUACUGUAGCCUGGCUCAAAGGCUCCGUAACUGGGUCCUGGGGGAUAUUGAUUUCAUUUAUGGCAAAAAAGAGCAUUGAAAAGCUCACAACCUUGUAGCACUGAGACACCAUAAAAAAGGAAAAACUGGUAUGAAGCAGAGUUAGGCUUUUGAAAUUUCCCCUUGGUAAGUUCUACCACAAGUUCCACAUCCUUUUAACUGUGCUUUACCAAUUGACAGAUUGAUCAACAUAUGAAAAAACUUAAUGACUUCCUUUUGAAGGAAAAGAGAUUUUAUCUUUCUCUUCUUAAGCAGUUUUAUUCUUUGGAGCCUUAUAAAGAAAGAAUAUUUUACCUUUCUGUCCCACAGAGCCAGGGACACCCUGUGUGCCCUUGAGGCCUUCAAUGCCAGGGAAACCAGGAUCACCGCCUUCGCCUUUUUGUCCUAUGCCUCCUCUUGUGCCUGGAAAACCACAAACCCAGUAUAUUCUUUUAAUAAUCUCUAUAAGACCCUAAGCUAACAAGCAUAAUGUGAAGUUGGCUACUGAGUGGGUGCUGGUCUUGCCACAUAAUCCAGGAGAAUGAAAAGUUGUCUACAGCAUGCUGUUUUUUUAAAAGUACUCCCCAAAUUAUGUAGAAUAUGACAUCGAUGUUCAAGUGUGCUGCAUAUGCAGGGAUAGCUCCAAUUGUAAUACAUUACUUUUAACCAACCCAAUCCAAAAUUGACCUGAUUCUGCUAUCCCAUCUUCCAUAAUUAUGGCCUGAUAUUGCUCCUUUGUUAUUAAAACCCCAUGGUAAGCUUCCCCUCCUUUCCUCUGUGGACUUUAGUACGUGAGAAGUAAUACAUCCAGAGCAACUAUGAAAUUAAUACCUGUUAAGCCUGGCACACCAAGUUCCCCUUUAAGGCCUGGCAUUCCUGGUAAGUU
Grus americana (Whooping crane) is the source of this 4396-nucleotide long non-coding RNA. RefSeq lists it as uncharacterized. The record is from RefSeq and is a predicted model, not a curated record. NCBI's taxonomy places the organism in Eukaryota, Metazoa, Chordata, Aves, Gruiformes, Gruidae. The transcript has 5 exons.